RNAcentral lists this ribosomal RNA (253 nucleotides) under uncultured bacterium. RNAcentral describes it as "partial 16S ribosomal RNA". It matches the Rfam family "Bacterial small subunit ribosomal RNA", at positions 524 to 776 of the family's 1533-position model. The record is from RNAcentral.
UACGUAGGGUGCGAGCGCUGUCCGGAAUUACUGGGCGUAAAGAGCUCGUAGGUGGUUUGUCGCGUUGUUCGUGAAAACUCACAGCUCAACUGUGGGCGUGCGGGCGAUACGGGCAGACUGGAGUACUGCAGGGGAGACUGGAAUUCCUGGUGUAGCGGUGAAAUGCGCAGAUAUCAGGAGGAACACCGGUGGCGAAGGCGGGUCUCUGGGCCGAUACUGACGCUGAGGAGCGAAAGCGUGGGGAGCAAACAGG